Molecule: long non-coding RNA, 243 nt
Organism: Myotis lucifugus (little brown bat)
Lineage: Eukaryota; Metazoa; Chordata; Mammalia; Chiroptera; Vespertilionidae
Exons: 3
Source: RefSeq, a predicted model, not a curated record
UCUGGCUCGGGCUCCGCAGUGGCAGCGGGCGCUCGCUGCCCUGGUUCCUCAGCACCCUGGGGCCGGGCUGGAGCCGGCCCAGGAAGGUCAUUUACCUGCAAUUUACACCAUGGCAGGCAGGUUUUGUGGACAUGAGUAAGAAGUUCCCACGCACAAGUCCUGAAGAUGCCAGGGCCAGCAGAAAUGAAGGCAAACACAAACAAACGGGGACAAAAGAGCAAAGCCAGAAACACCACCAACCCC